Long non-coding RNA from Mus musculus (house mouse), 739 nucleotides. RefSeq annotates it as predicted gene, 31869. Lineage: Eukaryota; Metazoa; Chordata; Mammalia; Rodentia; Muridae. The transcript is spliced from 3 exons. The record is from RefSeq and is a predicted model, not a curated record.
CGGUAUAGCCACUUUCAUGCAAAGGUCAGACAGAAUUCUGAGAAGGAAGUGUCAUGAUGAGAAUGCCUGGGGCUGAAGAGAGGCCAGCCGCCUGAGGGGGGAGUAGGAGCCAUGCGACCAGGUGACGCAGACCUCGGGGUUCUACGAGAUAGUUUCAGUAAGAGGGCGUAGAUGGAGAAUUAGUAUUUAGGAUUAGGAAGUGAUUCUGAGGUUAGGGAGUGAGAGAUAAGGACAGACUAUUUCAAAAUAUAGACAGGAAAUGAAAAGAGAAAAGAAGUCUAGAAUGCCGUCACUGCGAGCCAGGAAAGAAGCUUUGGAGUUCCUCCCUGCUCCGAAUCUACAUUUCGUGGUAUUUGUGAUUUCUUUUUCUACCCAGUCAUCUAUGUAUACUGUGCUCUUCAUCCAAUCCAGAACAGAAAGAGAAAGACAACAAAACCAAACAAAAUCCUAGAUUCUGUCCCCUCAAUGUAGAAAAUCCCACUAAAUUCCAAACCAGGCAUUUCAUAAGCAGAGGAUGCUCCCUGGAGUCCUGAAAUACUUCCACGUGGUUGGUGGCUGUGUUUACUUUUCAAGGAGAAUAUAAUCCAGACAAUUGGCUUGUGCCCUAUAUGUGAAUAAGCAGACAGUGUGACUUCCAUGGAGAGAAAUAACCUGAAAUGGACACGUCUGGACAGUGAAGAGCAGGACAGCCUGUUGUGCCUCAGAAAAACCAAAAAAUAGAUAGAUAAAUAAAUGGAAA